GUGCUCACUUUGGCAGCACCUAUACUAAAAUUGGAAUGACAUAGAGAAGAUUAGCCUGGCCCCUGCACAAGGAUGACAUGCAAAUUCAUGAAGGGUUAUAUAUUUUA
Delphinapterus leucas (beluga whale) is the source of this 107-nucleotide small nuclear RNA. The record is from Ensembl. Lineage: Eukaryota; Metazoa; Chordata; Mammalia; Artiodactyla; Monodontidae.